This 31-nucleotide non-coding RNA is filed under the name Homo sapiens (human). The record is from RNAcentral. Lineage: Eukaryota; Metazoa; Chordata; Mammalia; Primates; Hominidae.
UCUGUAAAGUCCGUGGUAAGAAUUACAUAUC